This 69-nucleotide transfer RNA is filed under the name Zaraea sp. CSCS-Hym-MC0131. Its description in RNAcentral is "tRNA-Arg". Lineage: Eukaryota; Metazoa; Arthropoda; Insecta; Hymenoptera; Cimbicidae. The record is from RNAcentral.
AAGUUUGAAAUAAAUAUUUUAUAUUCAGUUUCGACCUGAAAUUAUAGUUAAUCAAUUAACUCUAACUUA